UACGGAGGAUGCAAGCGUUAUCCGGAUUCAUUGGGUUUAAAGGGUGCGUAGGCGGACUAUUAAGUCAGUGGUGAAGGCCUGCAGCUUAACUGCAGAACUGCCAUUGAUACUGAUAGUCUUGAGUUUGGUUAAGGUAGGCGGAAUGUGUAAUGUAGCGGUGAAAUGCUUAGAUAUUACACAGAACACCAAUUGCGUAGGCAGCUUACUGAGCCGACACUGACGCUGAGGCACGAAAGCGUGGGAUCGAACAGGA
This 253-nucleotide ribosomal RNA is filed under the name uncultured prokaryote. RNAcentral's name for it is "partial 16S ribosomal RNA". It matches the Rfam family "Bacterial small subunit ribosomal RNA", at positions 524 to 777 of the family's 1533-position model. The record is from RNAcentral.